RNAcentral lists this ribosomal RNA (495 nucleotides) under uncultured bacterium. RNAcentral's name for it is "partial 16S ribosomal RNA". It matches the Rfam family "Bacterial small subunit ribosomal RNA", at positions 28 to 507 of the family's 1533-position model. The record is from RNAcentral.
GACGAACGCUGGCGGCGUGCCUAAUACAUGCAAGUAGAACGCUGAAGGAGGAGCUUGCUUCUCUGGAUGAGUUGCGAACGGGUGAGUAACGCGUAGGUAACCUGCCUGGUAGCGGGGGAUAACUAUUGGAAACGAUAGCUAAUACCGCAUAAUAGUAGCUGUUGCAUGACAUUUGCCUAAAAGGUGCAAUUGCAUCACUACCAGAUGGACCUGCGUUGUAUUAGCUAGUUGGUGGGGUAACGGCUCACCAAGGCGACGAUACAUAGCCGCACUGAGAGGGUGAUCGGCCACACUGGGACUGAGACACGGCCCAGACUCCUACAGGAGGCAGCAGUAGGGAUUCUUCGGCAAUCGACGGAAGUCUGACCGAGCAACGCCGCGUGAGUGAAGAAGGUUUUCGGAUCGUAAAGCUCGGUUGUAAGAGAAGAACGAGUGUGAGAGUGGAAAGUUCACACUGUGACGGUAUCUUACCAGAAAGGGACGGCUAACUACGUG